RNAcentral lists this ribosomal RNA (575 nucleotides) under uncultured bacterium. Its description in RNAcentral is "partial 16S ribosomal RNA". It matches the Rfam family "Bacterial small subunit ribosomal RNA", at positions 355 to 923 of the family's 1533-position model. The record is from RNAcentral.
UGGGGAAUUUUGGACAAUGGGCGAAAGCCUGAUCCAGCAAUGCCGCGUGUGUGAAGAAGGCCUUCGGGUUGUAAAGCACUUUUGUCCGGAAAGAAAUCCUUGGCUCUAAUACAGUCGGGGGAUGACGGUACCGGAAGAAUAAGCACCGGCUAACUACGUGCCAGCAGCCGCGGUAAUACGUAGGGUGCAAGCGUUAAUCGGAAUUACUGGGCGUAAAGCGUGCGCAGGCGGUUUUGUAAGACGGAUGUGAAAUCCCCGGGCUUAACCUGGGAACUGCAUUCGUGACUGCAAGGCUAGAGUAUGGCAGAGGGGGGUAGAAUUCCACGUGUAGCAGUGAAAUGCGUAGAGAUGUGGAGGAAUACCGAUGGCGAAGGCAGCCCCCUGGGCCAAUACUGACGCUCAUGCACGAAAGCGUGGGGAGCAAACAGGAUUAGAUACCCUGGUAGUCCACGCCCUAAACGAUGUCAACUAGUUGUUGGGGAUUCAUUUCCUUAGUAACGUAGCUAACGCGUGAAGUUGACCGCCUGGGGAGUACGGUCGCAAGAUUAAAACUCAAAUGAAUUGACGGGGUCAUA